Molecule: non-coding RNA, 22 nt
Filed under: Arabidopsis thaliana (thale cress)
Lineage: Eukaryota; Viridiplantae; Streptophyta; Magnoliopsida; Brassicales; Brassicaceae
Source: RNAcentral
AAGUUUGGGUGGCCACGUGUCA